UCACUUCUGAAGAGUCCCAUACUAGGACGAAACGGUCGUCCAAUGA
Molecule: non-coding RNA, 46 nt
Filed under: Schistosoma haematobium
Lineage: Eukaryota; Metazoa; Platyhelminthes; Trematoda; Strigeidida; Schistosomatidae
Source: RNAcentral